This 498-nucleotide ribosomal RNA is filed under the name uncultured bacterium. RNAcentral describes it as "partial 16S ribosomal RNA". It matches the Rfam family "Bacterial small subunit ribosomal RNA", at positions 30 to 523 of the family's 1533-position model. The record is from RNAcentral.
AUUGAACGCUGGCGGCAUGCCUUACACAUGCAAGUCGAACGGUAACAGGUCUUCGGAUGCUGACGAGUGGCGAACGGGUGAGUAAUACAUCGGAACGUGCCUAGUAGUGGGGGAUAACUACUCGAAAGAGUGGCUAAUACCGCAUGAGAUCUACGGAUGAAAGCAGGGGAUCGCAAGACCUUGUGCUACUAGAGCGGCCGAUGGCAGAUUAGGUAGUUGGUGGGAUAAAAGCUUACCAAGCCGACGAUCUGUAGCUGGUCUGAGAGGACGCUCAGCCAAACGGGGACUGGGACCCGGCCCAGACUCCUACGGGAGGCAGCAGUGGGGAAUUUUGGACAAUGGGCGAAAGCCUGGUCCAGCAAUGCCGCGUGCAGGAUGAAGGCCUUCGGGUUGUAAACUGCUUUUGUACGGAACGAAAAGCCCCGGGUUAAUACCCUGGGGUCAUGACGGUACCGUAAGAAUAAGCACCGGCUAACUACGUGCCAGCCGCCGCCGUAA